AUUGAACGCUGGCGGCAUGCCUUACACAUGCAAGUCGAACGGCAGCACGGGUGCUUGCACCUGGUGGCGAGUGGCGAACGGGUGAGUAAUACAUCGGAACAUGUCCUGUAGUGGGGGAUAGCCCGGCGAAAGCCGGAUUAAUACCGCAUACGAUCUACGGAUGAAAGCGGGGGCCCUUCGGGCCUCGCGCUAUAGGGUUGGCCGAUAGCUGAUUAGCUAGUUGGUGGGGUAAAGGCCUACCAAGGCGACGAUCAGUAGCUGGUCUGAGAGGACGACCAGCCACACUGGGACUGAGACACGGCCCAGACUCCUACGGGAGGCAGCAGUGGGGAAUUUUGGACAAUGGGCGAAAGCCUGAUCCAGCAAUGCCGCGUGUGUGAAGAAGGCCUUCGGGUUGUAAAGCACUUUUGUCCGGAAAGAAAUCCUUGGCUCUAAUACAGUCGGGGGAUGACGGUACCGGAAGAAUAAGCACCGGCUAAUUACGUG
Molecule: ribosomal RNA, 486 nt
Filed under: uncultured bacterium
Lineage: Bacteria
Description: partial 16S ribosomal RNA
Rfam family: Bacterial small subunit ribosomal RNA
Source: RNAcentral